RNAcentral lists this non-coding RNA (35 nucleotides) under unclassified sequences. RNAcentral describes it as "DUF805b RNA". It matches the Rfam family "DUF805b RNA". From Rfam's summary of the family: Bacteroidetes, Chlorobi (1 example), Proteobacteria. The record is from RNAcentral.
ACAGAGGUAGCCGAAAAUCUAUAAAAGAGUAGGCU